Molecule: long non-coding RNA, 619 nt
Organism: Eubalaena glacialis (North Atlantic right whale)
Lineage: Eukaryota; Metazoa; Chordata; Mammalia; Artiodactyla; Balaenidae
Exons: 4
Source: RefSeq, a predicted model, not a curated record
GCUAACAGCGGUAUAAGGCAGAACCGUGGACAACCCCGGUCCUCGGAGGCAGAAAAGACUCAAGGUCACACGGGAUAAAUUGCGAACAGUCCUUGCGUCAGUUGACUGAGAGGCGGGGCCUGUUGCGCCUGCGCAACUGGCAUCCUACUGAGGUCCUGCAGCGCAUGUGCGCAGGGAGUGGCGGAAACCGGGGAGGAGUCUAACUAGAGCUGUCAUAGGACGCUCCAGCUCACGGUAUGUGGAGAGAUUUGCUGCAUUUCUAAAGAAUCUCAGAAAACAAGCUUCAUUUCAGAACCUAAACCAGCAUUUGCUUUUCUUCACUUUGAGGGAGCACACAGAACCUCUGAGCGAGUGCACUAGAGAAGCCGGCCCCCAAAGAACACUCUGUCCCAAGUCUGGGCCCAAAGCAGCAGAGCUUCCUGAUCCGAAGGGACCAGUGGGCUGGGAUGAUGGAUGUGUCACUGGUGGCCUGGAUGGCUGACAUGUGGAAGAAUCUCCCCGACCCUGCCUGAGACACUGAGCUUCAUGAAGAAUACUCCGGGAAGUCUUGCUGAUUGAAUUUUUGGACUGUUUUUUCCUUAACAUUCUUGAUGCACCUUAAUCCUCAUGAUUAUGUACA